Unclassified non-coding RNA from Cebus imitator (Panamanian white-faced capuchin), 280 nucleotides. It matches the Rfam family "Metazoan signal recognition particle RNA". From Rfam's summary of the family: The signal recognition particle (SRP) is a universally conserved ribonucleoprotein. It is involved in the co-translational targeting of proteins to membranes. The eukaryotic SRP consists of a 300-nucleotide 7S RNA and six proteins: SRPs 72, 68, 54, 19, 14, and 9. The record is from Ensembl. NCBI's taxonomy places the organism in Eukaryota, Metazoa, Chordata, Mammalia, Primates, Cebidae.
GUCAGGCUCAGUGGUGCACACCUGUGGUCUCAGCUACUCGAGAGGCUGAGGUGGAACAAUUGCUUGAACCCAGGAGUUCUGAGCUGUAGAGUGUGGUAGCAAUCGGGUGUCUGAACUAAGCUGGGCACCAAUAUAGUGACCUUCUGGAGCAGGGGCCUUCAGGUUGUUUAAGGAGGGGUGAACUGACUUCGGUCAGAUAUGGAGCAGAAUCAGUAAUGGGACUGUGCCCGUGAAUAGGCACUGCACUCCAGCCUGGGAAAUAAAGCAAGAGCUUAUCUCU